RNAcentral lists this ribosomal RNA (400 nucleotides) under uncultured bacterium. RNAcentral's name for it is "bacterial SSU rRNA". It matches the Rfam family "Bacterial small subunit ribosomal RNA", at positions 355 to 768 of the family's 1533-position model. The record is from RNAcentral.
UGGGGAAUAUUGGGCAAUGGAGGAAACUCUGACCCAGCAAUGCCGCGUGAAUGAAGAAGGUCUUCGGAUUGUAAAGUUCUUUAGUCAGGGAAGAAAAAAAUGACGGUACCUGAAGAAUAAGCUCCGGCUAACUACGUGCCAGCAGCCGCGGUAAUACGUAGGGAGCAAGCGUUGUUCGGAAUGACUGGGCGUAAAGGGUGCGUAGGCGGUUAUACAAGUUAGAAGUGAAAUACCCAGGGCUUAACUCGGGUGCUGCUUCUAAAACUGUAAGACUUGAGUACAGUAGAGGUUAGUGGAAUUCCUAGUGUAGCGGUGGAAUGCGUAGAUAUUAGGAGGAACACCAGAGGCGAAGGCGGCUAACUGGACUGAAACUGACGCUGAGGCACGAAAGUGUGGGGAG